This 274-nucleotide ribosomal RNA is filed under the name uncultured bacterium. RNAcentral describes it as "partial 16S ribosomal RNA". It matches the Rfam family "Bacterial small subunit ribosomal RNA", at positions 523 to 796 of the family's 1533-position model. The record is from RNAcentral.
AUACGGAGGGUGCGAGCGUUGUUCGGAAUUAUUGGGCGUAAAGAGCAUGUAGGCGGUCUGUUAAGUCUGGUGUGAAAGCCUGGGGCUCAACCCCGGAAGUGCAUUGGAUACUGGCAGACUUGAGUAUGGGAGAGGAAAGCGGAAUUCCGAGUGUAGGAGUGAAAUCCGUAGAUAUUCGGAGGAACACCAGUGGCGAAGGCGGCUUUCUGGACCAAUACUGACGCUGAGAUGCGAAAGCGUGGGGAGCAAACAGAAUUAGAUACCCCGGUAGUCC